AAACAACUCUCAGCCAUCGAGUUUUUGAACGCAAGUUGCGCCCGAGGCUUGUCCCGAGGGCAUGUCUGCCUGAGCGUCACC
Molecule: ribosomal RNA, 81 nt
Filed under: Sphagnum rotundatum
Lineage: Eukaryota; Viridiplantae; Streptophyta; Sphagnopsida; Sphagnales; Sphagnaceae
Description: 5.8S ribosomal RNA
Source: RNAcentral